This is a non-coding RNA of Vicugna pacos (alpaca), 2807 nucleotides long. The record is from RefSeq and is a predicted model, not a curated record. Lineage: Eukaryota; Metazoa; Chordata; Mammalia; Artiodactyla; Camelidae.
UAAUGGCAAGUUCUAAUUAUUAAAAAAAUGUCCCAGGAACAAAUAAUGUCAUCAACUAAUUUCAAAAACAUUCCUUGCCAAUACAUCCAUUUAUAUGUGUGUAUAUGUAUACAUACAUAGAUCUGCUUAACAAAUAUUGAUUGUGCACCGAAGAGAUACUGGGUAUUGCACUGGGCAACGAGAAGACAACAGUAAGCCAAAAAAACAGAAAUUCUGCCUUCAUGGCACUUACAGUCCAGGGCAGCAGACACAAAAUAAACAUGAUACUAUGUUGGGUAAGUAAUGAGAAGGGGAAAAAAGCAUGAAGGGAAACACGCUGGGAGUAGGGGAGAGUUUGAUAUUUUAGAUAGGAGGCCAGGAAAAGUAACGAAGACUUGGAACAAAAUGAGGAAGCAAGCUAGUCAUGCAGGUAUUUUGAAGAAAAGCACUUCAGACACAUGGAAAGCCAAGUGCAAAGGCUGUGAGAUGAGGCACGCCUAGAAUGUUCACAAGAGUAUCAAGGAGGAUGGUUUGGCCAGAACAGACCAAAUAAAAUAUUGUGUGGGGACUUGUAGGCCACUGUAAAGACUCUGGCUUUAACUCUAAGACAGGGGUGACCACUGGAAGAUUCAGAGUAGAGAAGUGAUAUAAACUUAUUUUUAUUUUAACAGGAUCAUUCUGCUGCUAUGGGGAAAACAGCCUGAAGAGCAGCAAGGGCUGGAGUGAGAUCAGUGAAGAAGCUAAUUCAAUGAUCUAGGAAACUCUGUUCUUAACACACAGUGACUUACGUGGAAGUGCAACAACUGAUAUACAAGGAGUAGAAUCAUCAAUACUCUGAUCAUCCUCAGAAGACAGACAAAGCCUUUUAUGUGGAGGUUCAGUACUAUCUUCUGAGUCUAUUUCAUCAGCUUCUAAUGAAACAAAACAAAAACCAAAAUCUCAGAGUCUUCAAACAAACAAGUAGAAAACAAAAUCUUCAACAAGUAGUAACUAUGAAACUAUCUUCUUACUGAUUUGCUAAGUUAACUAAACCCAGCUGUGCAAGUGGGACUCAAAAUGACACUGCUUUCUCUCCACCUACUGCAGUACCUCAACUCCUACUCUUAUGAUAAGGAACUAUGAACAAGGUGCCACUUUUAAAAAAUCACACUUUUGUGCUGUCGACUACUUGGCUUUCCAAAUAAAAGACAAGGUUUGGUCAUUUAAUUCACUCACAAAUACUUACUGAAUGUCUACCAUUAGUUAAGUGUGGGACACAGAACAAUGAGAGAUACCCUGACUGUCAAGGCGCUCACAGUAUAGUGGAGGGGAUGACUAAACUAACAAUUUCAAAAUGAUUUAAUAGGAACUAUGAAGGCGGAAUGAAGAGACUGUUAUAUAAGCAGAGAGGCAUUUAAUUUAGACUGGAGGUGCAGAGAGGUUUCCUGGAAAAGGUGUCUUGAACUUCAAAAAGAAACAAAGCCCAGGGAAAAUGGUUAUUAUUGAUAGUAAGAGUAAUAUGUGCAGUGAUACUGAGGUAUGAAAAGCUUGAAGUAUGUUUAGAAAAUAAACAUAGCUGUGGACUGCUGGAUAGAUACACGAAAUGUGGCAGGAAAUGAGGCUGGAAGGAAAGCUGAGUAAGAUGAUGGGAGGCCUAUGUGCCAAAUUAAAGAACCUAAAGUAUAUUCUAGAAGCCAUGGGAAGCUUAACCAAAAACAUACCUUCUAAUACUACUAAGUAUCAUGACCAAUGUCACCAGCAGUUUGAAAGAUAAAUUGGAGGUGGGAGACUGCUUAAAAGGCUACCCAGGUGAGAAAUGAGAAUGUGAACUCAGAAAGGAGGACUUAAGACAGACAGGAAGGGAUGGAUUAAAAAAACAUAAUACUAUCAACAAGUCUUCACAACAGAAUGAAUGGGGGAGAUGAGAAAAGGAUUUAUUUCUACUCACAUUUAUAAUCUGGGAUACUAAGUAAUGGAAUUGAUUGACAAAAGAAAAAAGAGAACUAGAUCUGGGAAUUUUGUUAAAGAAUUCAACUUGGGAUAUGUGAAAUUUAAGGUGCCUAAAAGAAACAGAGAAUUUAGAAUAAAGAAAAAAGUCUGAAUCAUUUUUGUAGCUAGGUAGUAGUUAAACCACAAGUUUGAAUGAAAUAACCCAGGGAUUAAGCAUUGAGUGAAAACAGAAGACAGAACCUAGGCUGAACAAAGAUGAACUUAAAAGCAAAAUAAAUAAUAAACAUAAGGAAUAGGUAGAGAAAUAACAAAAUCAUAAGCCUCAAGGCUGUUCAAUCUUAAUUCAUUACAAAUGGUCAUAUUAAAUCCUAUUCAAACAGUCAUGUAAAAUUCUCUAAUAGGUUCGAUCCAAAAAAAAAAGUUCUAUGCUCGCUGGCAGGAUUACUUCCCCAUUUUCUAAUGUACUAUAUAUACUGCUGGCACCAAGUGGUAUCAAAGAGGAAGUAUAUUAUAGUUAAUCCAUCAUCAUCUUCAGAAGUGCAACAGAUUCUACUUAUAAAAUAGUUAUGAGAUUCAUAAAGGUUAAAAUUUAUGGUAAAUUUAAAAACAUACAAAAGUAUAUUUUAAAAAUAGAAAGAUAAAAAUACAAAUUAAUUUUAUUCAAGAGAUAACCUCCCUUUCCACUGUCCUAGCCUAAACUGUCUGAGUAAUGAGGAUCAUAGGUGACAUGAAAUCCAGAAACCCAGAGAGUCACAAUUGUAUGUAAGCAAGUUUUCCUACCAUUCUGAGGGCAGUGAAGAAUGAGGUUCCCGUCUGUGUCCCGAGUCAAAGUCACAGAGUUCACAGUUUCUACUGUUACUGUGUCAGAAUCCUCUUCAACUGUGCUCAUACUCAAAUCU